Molecule: ribosomal RNA, 253 nt
Filed under: uncultured bacterium
Lineage: Bacteria
Description: partial 16S ribosomal RNA
Rfam family: Bacterial small subunit ribosomal RNA
Source: RNAcentral
UACGGAGGGUGCGAGCGUUGUCCGGAAUCACUGGGCGUAAAGGGCGCGUAGGCGGAUAGUUUAGUCAGAGGUGAAAGCCCAGGGCUCAACCCUGGAAUUGCCUUUGAUACUGGCUAUCUUGAGUUCGGGAGAGGUGAGUGGAACUCCGAGUGUAGAGGUGAAAUUCGUAGAUAUUCGGAAGAACACCAGUGGCGAAGGCGACUCACUGGCCCGAUACUGACGCUGAGGCGCGAAAGCGUGGGGAGCAAACAGG